UUGGGAUGUGAAUUUACUGCACUUCAAGG
Molecule: non-coding RNA, 29 nt
Filed under: Mus musculus (house mouse)
Lineage: Eukaryota; Metazoa; Chordata; Mammalia; Rodentia; Muridae
Source: RNAcentral